AUACGAAGGGGGCUAGCGUUGCUCGGAAUUACUGGGCGUAAAGGGCGCGUAGGCGGACAGUUUAGUCAGAGGUGAAAGCCCAGGGCUCAACCUUGGAAUUGCCUUUGAUACUGGCUGUCUUGAGUACGGGAGAGGUGAGUGGAACUCCGAGUGUAGAGGUGAAAUUCGUAGAUAUUCGGAAGAACACCAGUGGCGAAGGCGACUCACUGGCCCGUUACUGACGCUGAGGCGCGAAAGCGUGGGGAGC
Molecule: ribosomal RNA, 247 nt
Filed under: uncultured bacterium
Lineage: Bacteria
Description: partial 16S ribosomal RNA
Rfam family: Bacterial small subunit ribosomal RNA
Source: RNAcentral